Molecule: unclassified non-coding RNA, 308 nt
Filed under: plant metagenome
Description: partial contains 5.8S ribosomal RNA, internal transcribed spacer 2, and large subunit ribosomal RNA
Rfam family: 5.8S ribosomal RNA (bases 1-104)
Source: RNAcentral
AAAUGCGAUAAGUAGUGUGAAUUGCAGAAUUCAGUGAAUCAUCGAAUCUUUGAACGCACAUUGCGCCCCUUGGUAUUCCAUGGGGCAUGCCUGUUCGAGCGUCAUUUGUACCCUCAAGCUCUGCUUGGUGUUGGGUGUUUGUCCCGUCUCCGCGCGUGGACUCGCCCCAAAGUGAUUGGCAGCCUGCGUACUGGUCCCGGAGCGCAGCACAUGUCGCGCAAACGAGUGCCUUGGUACGGCGGCGUCCAUAAGCCCCUCUCUCACGCUCUUGACCUCGGAUCAGGUAGGGAUACCCGCUGAACUUAAGC